Molecule: long non-coding RNA, 766 nt
Organism: Helianthus annuus (common sunflower)
Lineage: Eukaryota; Viridiplantae; Streptophyta; Magnoliopsida; Asterales; Asteraceae
Exons: 3
Source: RefSeq, a predicted model, not a curated record
ACAAAAAAAAUCUCCAGUGAAGACCAAAUCAAGCAUAAACUACAACCCACCGCCAGUAAGGGUUUUCAUUAGUCUAUUAGGAAAGAUGAGGAUUUAGGGUUUAAGAAUAUGGAUCAAGUUGAGAACAAGUUGGAACCGGUUGAGCAACCGGUGCAUCGCCUGAGCCGGUUUGAACAGGUUUAAGGUCUAUAGAUCUACAUAUAACUUAAAGUUCUUCAGUCAGACUAGUGGUGAUGAUUUGGUGCUUUGGACGCUAGAAACCAUGGUAGAAGACAGUGGUGGCUGAUGGUUUCACCAUCAAGUAUCUAGGGUUCAGAUCCUCAACUAUCUAGGGUUCCGGUGAACUUUUGACGCUUGACAAGCUAGGUGAAAGCUUGGGAAGGAAGCGGGUCAAACGGAUCAAGAAUGACGGAAAAGCAUAAAUUGGAUGCUAGGUAUAAGGGAAAGUAUCGGAGGAUGAUCAAGCUCGAUAAAGAACCGAACACAAUCAAGAUUCAAGUUUCCGCAAAAUGACUCGUCGUUAUGUUUUUAAACGGCGAAUGUUUUAUGAAAUGUUGAAUUGUGUUAUUUCUUAAAAGUUUUUAAGAAAUUCAUAUUUUGUAAUGUAUGUGUAAGUAGAAUUAAAUAAUUAUAGUCGAAAAUUAUAUGAAAAUCGUAUAAAUGGACUAAGGGUCUUACGUGUAGGUUAAGGUGAUUGUCACUCGCAACAAAGUCAGUUUUGUACUAUAUUUAAAUUUAGUUUCAUCAAUGCAUGCUUUCAAUCUAA